This is a small nuclear RNA of Mastomys coucha (southern multimammate mouse), 105 nucleotides long. The record is from RefSeq and is a predicted model, not a curated record. Lineage: Eukaryota; Metazoa; Chordata; Mammalia; Rodentia; Muridae.
GUUCUUGCUUCAUCAGCACAUAUAUUAAACUUGGAAUGAUACAGACAAGAAUAGUAUGUCCCGUGCAAAAAGAAAAUGCAGAUUUGAGGUGUUCUAUAAAUUUUA